Molecule: ribosomal RNA, 232 nt
Filed under: uncultured bacterium
Lineage: Bacteria
Description: partial 16S ribosomal RNA
Source: RNAcentral
CUGCUGCCUUCCGUAGGAGUCUGGGCCGUAUCUCAGUCCCAAUGUGGCCGUUCAACCUCUCAGUCCGGCUACUGAUCGUCGCCUUGGUAGGCCUUUACCCCACCAACUAGCUAAUCAGCCGCAAGCUCAUCUAUCAGCGAAUUGCUUCUUUCCCACUAACAUCAUGCGAUGUUUAUGGCAUAUGCGGUAUUAGCAGUGAUUUCUCACUGUUAUUCCCCUCUGAUAGGCAGUA